GCCUGGCACAGUGGCGCAUGCCUGUAAUCUCAGCAGCUUGGGAGGCUGAGGCAGAAGGAUCUCGAGUUCAAACCCAGCCUCAGGAAUGGGGAGACACUAAGCAACUCAGUGAGACUCUGUCUCUA
RNAcentral lists this small RNA (125 nucleotides) under Marmota monax (woodchuck). Lineage: Eukaryota; Metazoa; Chordata; Mammalia; Rodentia; Sciuridae. The record is from RNAcentral.